Canis lupus familiaris (dog) is the source of this 538-nucleotide long non-coding RNA. RefSeq lists it as uncharacterized. The record is from RefSeq and is a predicted model, not a curated record. The transcript has 3 exons. Lineage: Eukaryota; Metazoa; Chordata; Mammalia; Carnivora; Canidae.
UCCAGGAAGGAGUUUCAAGCUCUGUGUGCAGGAGUGUUUAAAAUGCAAGAUCUCCGUCUGGGAGAAAAAUGACUUGAAGAGCCUUAAUGCAAACCUCCAUUCUGUUUUCCCAGCAGCUGUGAGGCUGGCAGGCCCCGUAGGCAGAGAAGGGACUUGCAUGGGCCAUGAUGAUACAUAUUCAGUAGCGAGGAAGACUUGAUUCUGCACCUUGCUGAUUCCAGCUGCCAGAUUCAAACAUCAGAAACUCACAAGGUGAAGGAAGUAUCAGCACCAGUGGACUUUGAGCGCAGCUGAAGGACUGAGUAUGCUCUAAAAGAUGAAAAAGAUGCUCCAUCUGCCUAAAGAGAGUACAUACAACUUCGUCCUGUCACCAGAUGACUUCACGUGGCAAAUGGAAAUACCAUGGGGAAGAAAUUUUUAUUUUGUUUUGUUUUCUAUUUUGUGAGAAUUUUGCUCUUAGAUCCAUGUAGCCUAUCAGCUAGCUAAGCAAGUUAGUGAAUGGGAGUUGGGGGGUAUAUGUGUGUAUUAUAUAGGCCUG